Molecule: ribosomal RNA, 253 nt
Filed under: uncultured bacterium
Lineage: Bacteria
Description: partial 16S ribosomal RNA
Rfam family: Bacterial small subunit ribosomal RNA
Source: RNAcentral
UACAGAGGUCUCAAGCGUUGUUCGGAUUCAUUGGGCGUAAAGGGUGUGUAGGCGGUCUUCUAAGUUUGGUGUGAAAUCUCCCGGCUCAACUGGGAGGGUGCGCCGAAAACUGGGAGGCUAGAGUACUGGAUGGGAGAGUGGAAUUCCUGGUGUAGCGGUGAAAUGCGCAGAUAUCAGGAAGAACACCCGUGGCGAAGGCGGCUCUCUGGGACGGUACUGACGCUGAGACGCGAAAGCGUGGGGAGCGAACAGG